RNAcentral lists this transfer RNA (65 nucleotides) under Lampsilis cardium. Its description in RNAcentral is "tRNA-Arg". Lineage: Eukaryota; Metazoa; Mollusca; Bivalvia; Unionida; Unionidae. The record is from RNAcentral.
CAAGCAGGAAACUUAUAGUGUUAUGGUUUCGGCCCAUAAAUAGGUAUAUUUCAUACCCUUGCUUU